Molecule: ribosomal RNA, 433 nt
Filed under: uncultured bacterium
Lineage: Bacteria
Description: partial 16S ribosomal RNA
Rfam family: Bacterial small subunit ribosomal RNA
Source: RNAcentral
AACGAACGCUGGCGGCAUGCCUAACACAUGCAAGUCGAACGAGACCUUCGGGUCUAGUGGCGCAGGUGUGCGUAACGCGUGGGAAGCUACCCUUAGGUUCGGAAUACCUCCCCGAAGGGGGUGCUCAUACCGGAUAAUGUCUUCGGACCAAAGAUUUCUCGCCUUUGGGUGGGCGCGGGUUAGAUUAGCGGGUUGGUAGUGUAAAAGCCUAUCAAGGCGACGAUCCUUAGCUGGUGUGAUAGGAGGAUCAUCCACGAUGGGACUGAGACACGGCCUAGACUCGUAGGGAAGGGAGCAGUAGAGAAUAUUAGACGAGGAGGGAAAGCGUAACACAGCAAUGCCGCGGGAGUCAUGAAGGCCGUAGGGUUGCAAAGCUCUUUGACACGGAAUGAUAAUGACAGUACCGGGUGAAUAAGCACCGGCUAACUACGUG